GGCUGGUUCAAUGGUAGUGGGUUAUCAGAACUUAUUAAAAUUAGUGUCACUAAAGUUGGUAUAUAACCCCCACUGGUAAAUUUGAAUGACUUUUA
Unclassified non-coding RNA from Otolemur garnettii (small-eared galago), 95 nucleotides. It matches the Rfam family "Y RNA". Rfam says of the family: Y RNAs are components of the Ro ribonucleoprotein particle (Ro RNP), in association with Ro60 and La proteins. The record is from Ensembl. NCBI's taxonomy places the organism in Eukaryota, Metazoa, Chordata, Mammalia, Primates, Galagidae.